UACCAGCGCAAAGCCGAAACUCGCCCGCAAACAGGCUCAGGAGGCUGUGAGUCCGCAGCAGCGGACCCUGGGAAAGCAAGCGAGUUGACGCCACAGCAGCCUUUUGAAGAGGAAAAGCGGAGACCCUCAGCUACAGAUCUUCGAAAUUUCUUACAUGACUUCUGAUCUUCACAACUGUGCAAUCCAUUUUCAAAACGGGAAAAAGACUCAGAAAUCAGAAGUUGUUACGUCUAGAGUCGCUUAUUCACCAUAUUUCAUUGUCUUGAUAGCAUCACUAGACCAUGCAUAAUUCAUGCAUGGGUGUGUUUUAGGGACAAAAAAGUCAAGUAGGAAGAAAAGACAGAUGAUCAAGAACAGAUGAAGAUGAAAACCAAAGAACGACCUACCGAAGAAAGUACCAUUUGAGUCUCCAUCCUCAUGCUUCUGCUGCUGUUGCUGCUGCUGUUGCUGCUGCUCCCUCAGCUGCAAGGAUUCCUGACAAACGUAAAUGGUUAGCCUUGGACGCACCAUCCUAAGGAGGAAAAAAGAAAGCUG
Molecule: long non-coding RNA, 534 nt
Organism: Lagenorhynchus albirostris (white-beaked dolphin)
Lineage: Eukaryota; Metazoa; Chordata; Mammalia; Artiodactyla; Delphinidae
Exons: 4
Source: RefSeq, a predicted model, not a curated record